Molecule: non-coding RNA, 47 nt
Organism: Picea glauca (white spruce)
Lineage: Eukaryota; Viridiplantae; Streptophyta; Pinopsida; Pinales; Pinaceae
Source: Rfam
ACUCAGGAUUUUUUAAAAUCUACCAUAGAGUCAAGAAGGAUUUUUUU